Panicum virgatum (switchgrass) is the source of this 2057-nucleotide long non-coding RNA. RefSeq lists it as uncharacterized. Lineage: Eukaryota; Viridiplantae; Streptophyta; Magnoliopsida; Poales; Poaceae. The transcript has 9 exons. The record is from RefSeq and is a predicted model, not a curated record.
AAUCACUAAUUUUAGGUCACGUAUAAGCACAAAGCUGACCCCGCCUCCCAUCACGCCCAGAUCGCGGGGCCCUCUAUGCCGCCGUCCCCUCCCUCGACCAGAUCCUGGGGUCGCCCGGACCAUCCUCGCCGCCCGCCGCUUGGCCUCCCCCACGACGCCGCCUCCGCGGGAUCCCAAUCAGGAGCGCGGCGCGCGGCCAGCCAUGAAGCGUGUCGUCGCACGUCUGGCUGGCCAGAUCUGGCCGGGCGCCACACCCGCGGCGCGUUUGGGGGAGGAGAAGGGCUCGGCUCUCCAGAUGGAUCGAGGAAGGGCGGGUGCCUCGCGUGCCGCGGCUAGGCGCGCCUCCUACGGGACGACGACCCGAUCGCGUACCGCGGCCUCGUCACCCACGUCGGUCACGCCUGCCGGGGCCGCGGUACCGCCGCCGCGUACACGCCGGGCACUCGCAGGCCAAGCUCGUUCGGGAGACAAUCAAGUCCAAAAUGGCGGACCGGGCAUGUACAACGAAGAACGUCCUCUGCACUGGUUGCCGUGAGGGUAUCAAUGGCUUCUAGAUUCUACAGAAUGGUUCUUGUCGAUCAAUUAAUAUUUAUGAUCGACCAAGUUCAAUUCAAAUAGUCGCACCAAGUAUCGACGCCCUCCUGAGAGGGUGCUAAGUUGCUUAGUACUUUGUCUGAGGAAGCUCUCAAAGGAACAAUAAGAUUAGUGUCAUUAGCCUAUCAAAGGACAAGAAAUGGGUACUGUGAUAAUGAUAAUGAUGAACAUCCUCUAGGCAGAGAUCAAAUCUGCUCAAGCCUUGUUCUGAUGAUACAGAGGAUUACAUUCAACGAUACCAUGAUAGCUCUUCAAUUGAUGCGCACCCAGUUUCCAAAGCUAGAAAAGCUUGUGGUGCAGCCAUUCGUUUUGCAGUCACAAUUGUAUAGCAGUGUGAAGGAUAGAUAGAACACAAGUUGACAGAGACUUGGAGUCAUUCAAGAAAGACAAAGUGUUGCGUAUAUUAAAACUUAGUUCUGGGCAGGAUGAUCAUGCAAUCAUGUUCAUGGACGAUUAUUUGAAACAGAAUUUUAAAAACGAGAAGAAGCACCUAGCUGAGAAUGGAAGAUUGCUUCAAUUACAGAUUGCUUCAAUUACAGAUUGCAGACUUUCAUACGGAUUGCAGGGAGGCAGUUCUUCAAUUGCAAAAAGGAGAAUGAGCAUUCUUUUGGGUGGAAGCUGCGGCCUCUUCUCUCUGAAAUUUCAGAUCUCCAAGAUAGCUCUAUUUUCAAGAUGAAUUGUGUUUUUUUUCUUUCACAACCAUAUACUUCUUAAUGCUAGGUUUCAAUCAGGUUUGGAGAGCAACACUUGAAUGGUGGAGAAGGAAAACAGCACUUUGUGGCCAGACUGUCACUGCCAUGGAUAUUUACAGCCAUCAUCUGGCACUCAUACCUAAAUCCCUUAUGUAAAGCCACAAAAAAUGGAAACAGCAUUGGACCCAGAAUGGUACAAAAUGGAGACAUAGUUUUAAAUAAAGUAUUUGUCCCUGAGGAAGACAGAUUACCAUGCAUCCAUUCAUUUUAGGAUAUAAACAAGGUGCAUGGUGUUUGUCAUGUCUCGCAUUAUGGUGGCAUGGCAGCCAAUAGGCGUAUCAAUGGGAGUUUUUGACAUGUCCCAUAGGUGUAUAUCACAUCACCAUAUCUGCUUUUUAGUUUAUUCAUUCUGAUCUAUGUAAGACUUCCAAUAUCUCUCAAUCUGUAGUUAUCUUUUUGAAAGAAAGAAAGAAAGAAAGCAAUUUGGAGCUCCAGUGGUUUCAGCUCAACCAAGAAAAGCUUGUUCGGAUGCUCGGCAACAUUGAGACCAUGGUUCUCGUUGGCUGGUGACUGUGCAAGCGCUAUGAGUCAGGCAAAUGGCAUCAGGCCAUAGUAGUUUAGGCAAGGUUUGUAAGUUGCAGUAUAGCUAGCAAUGGUUGAACGGUUCCCUCAUCUUGAGCCCCGUGAUAUUUUCAUAAUUAGUUUUUUUUUUCAGGACAGGCCAAAGUUCUUGUUGCAACUUAAACUUAGCGUGGUUAUUUUUUUGCAACA